Molecule: ribosomal RNA, 255 nt
Filed under: Babesia sp. 24H/POL/2009
Lineage: Eukaryota; Apicomplexa; Aconoidasida; Piroplasmida; Babesiidae
Description: partial 18S ribosomal RNA
Rfam family: Eukaryotic small subunit ribosomal RNA
Source: RNAcentral
GAUUGGAGGUCGUCAUUUUUCCGACUCCUUCGGCACCUUGAGAGAAAUCAAAGUCUUUGGGUUACUGGGGGGAGUAUGGUCGCAAGGCUGAAACUUAAAGGAAUUGACGGAAGGGCACCACCAGGCGUGGAGCCUGCGGCUUAAUUUGACUCAACACGGGGAAACUCACCAGGUCCAGACAAUGUUAAGGAUUGACAGAUUGAUAGCUCUUUCUUGAUUCUUUGGGUGGUGGUGCAUGGCCGUUCUUAAAUGUGG